GGCUGCUUUCGCCGCUCGGGUGGGCGGGAGCUCGUCACCUUGGGGACGGGGGAUGCGGCUCCCCUGAGGGCAGCGCGGGGACGGGCGGGGGGGGUGAGCCGCCGUGUGGGCGUCCGGCGUCCCUCCCUUGUCACAGAAUCACAGAAUCAUCUAGGCACCUGCGGCUCUUGAUGCGCCUCAGCUCCAUUCAAGCUCCGGAGAAGAAACGAUUCAGCUUCCUGUGCUUGUAACACCAAUAGUUUGCCAGUAUUCACACCUGCUUCCCAUCUCCACCCAAAUCCGGAGCCAG
This is a long non-coding RNA of Cygnus olor (mute swan), 289 nucleotides long. RefSeq lists it as uncharacterized. The transcript has 3 exons. NCBI's taxonomy places the organism in Eukaryota, Metazoa, Chordata, Aves, Anseriformes, Anatidae. The record is from RefSeq and is a predicted model, not a curated record.